GAACGCUAGCGGCAGGCCUUAAUACAUGACAAGUCGAACGCUACAGUAGACAAUACGUGGGAGUGGCGCGACGGGUGACGUAACGCGUACACAAUCUACCUCUAAGCGGGGGACACCUCCUGGAAACGGGGAUUAAUACCGCAUAAUAUGCCGAGGUCGCAUGACUUUGGUAUUAAAGCAGCAAUGCACUUAGAGAUGAGUGUGCGUCCCAUUAGGUAGUUGGUGAGGUAACGGCUCACCAAGCCUAUGAUGGGUAGCCGGUCUGAGAGGAUGGUCGGCCACACGGGCACUGAGACACGGGCCCGACUCCUACGGGAGGCAGCAGUAAGGAAUAUUGGUCAAUGGUGGAAACACUGAACCAGCCAUGCCGCGUGGAGGAAUAAGGUCCUACGGAUUGUAAACUCCUUUUGACGAGGAAGAAAGUGUUAGAUUUAUCUAAUUUUGACGGUACUCGUAGAAUAAGCACCGGCUAACUCCGUG
Molecule: ribosomal RNA, 480 nt
Filed under: uncultured bacterium
Lineage: Bacteria
Description: bacterial SSU rRNA
Rfam family: Bacterial small subunit ribosomal RNA
Source: RNAcentral